UGGGGAAUAUUGGACAAUGGGGGCAACCCUGAUCCAGCAAUGCCGCGUGAGUGAUGAAGGCCUUAGGGUUGUAAAGCUCUUUCGCCCACGACGAUGAUGACGGUAGUGGGAGAAGAAGCCCCGGCUAACUUCGUGCCAGCAGCCGCGGUAAUACGAAGGGGGCAAGCGUUGUUCGGAAUUACUGGGCGUAAAGGGCGCGCAGGCGGCGAACCAAGUCAGGCGUGAAAGCCCCGGGCUUAACCUGGGAAAUGCGCUUGAGACUGAAUUGCUUGAGUUCGGGAGAGGUGAGUGGAAUUCCCAGUGUAGAGGUGAAAUUCGUAGAUAUUGGGAAGAACACCGGUGGCGAAGGCGGCUCACUGGACCGAUACUGACGCUGAGGCGCGAAAGCGUGGGGAGCAAACAGGAUUAGAUACCCCCGUAGUCC
RNAcentral lists this ribosomal RNA (424 nucleotides) under uncultured bacterium. RNAcentral's name for it is "bacterial SSU rRNA". It matches the Rfam family "Bacterial small subunit ribosomal RNA", at positions 355 to 796 of the family's 1533-position model. The record is from RNAcentral.